CCUUGUACACACCGCCCGUCACACCAUGGGAAGUUGGUUUCCGACCUUAAGCCGGUGCGCCAACCGCAAGGAGGCAGCCGACCACGGUACGGGUCAGCGACUGGGGUG
RNAcentral lists this ribosomal RNA (108 nucleotides) under uncultured bacterium. RNAcentral describes it as "partial 16S ribosomal RNA". It matches the Rfam family "Bacterial small subunit ribosomal RNA", at positions 1379 to 1482 of the family's 1533-position model. The record is from RNAcentral.